Malus domestica (apple) is the source of this 389-nucleotide long non-coding RNA. RefSeq lists it as uncharacterized. NCBI's taxonomy places the organism in Eukaryota, Viridiplantae, Streptophyta, Magnoliopsida, Rosales, Rosaceae. The record is from RefSeq and is a predicted model, not a curated record.
UUUUUAUCGGAGAGGAUUCUUUCAUUAGCUUUUGAUGUGAUUUCAUCUCUGUUGAAACAGGGCCUGGAUGGAGAAUAGUUUCUCCACAUUUUUCAUCUCUGUUGGACUCUGCAAUCUUUCAAGCAUUGGUAAUGAAUGAAAAGGAUAUCGUAGUGUGGGAAGAAGAUGCAGAUGAGUACAUACGAAAGAAUCUUCCAUCUGACAUAGUAUGGAAAGUUUAUACCACAUUUAGUGUGUGAUAUGUAAGACAUUUUAUAUAGGUAUGAGGUAUUACUACCAGUUGCAUACUAUGUGUGUAAUAUAUGCGGCGUUGUCUUAUGCUUAAGUGCUCUGCCUAAGAUGUAAAAUUGAUGGGGUCUAUUAGAAUUAAACCAUAUUCGCCUUUUGGA